GGGACAGCAGCGCCGCCGCCGUGACAGACGGGCUCCUUCCCUUUUCCGGCCCAACGGCUCAACAACCACGCCGCCUCCUUUCUUCCAGAUCCGGCACCCCCUCUCUUUCUCGGCCGGCAGAAACGGCCGUCGUAGCCGCCACCGUGACCGGCAGCAGCAGAUGGCAGGCCGCCGUCUCCUCAGCUUCUCCUUUUCCGGCUCACCAACAGGCCUCUCACCCAAAAACACCUCAAACCCCUCCCAUCUCCUUCUAGUUUCUAAUUUCUUUUCAUA
This 273-nucleotide long non-coding RNA is filed under the name Salvia miltiorrhiza (redroot sage). Its description in RNAcentral is "long non-coding RNA (SMIL_LNC001403)". The record is from RNAcentral. Lineage: Eukaryota; Viridiplantae; Streptophyta; Magnoliopsida; Lamiales; Lamiaceae.